This is a long non-coding RNA of Mus musculus (house mouse), 2691 nucleotides long. RefSeq annotates it as predicted gene, 36129. The transcript is spliced from 3 exons. NCBI's taxonomy places the organism in Eukaryota, Metazoa, Chordata, Mammalia, Rodentia, Muridae. The record is from RefSeq and is a predicted model, not a curated record.
GAUUGCGACCCCCCGGCCCGGACAGGGUGAAUUUAGAGGUCGAAAGACGACCUUCCUCUUCACCAUCUUUCUGACCUCCGAUUGGAGUUCCUCUGGCCGCUUCACCGCAGGCUCUGGCUUCCUUUUCUCCAGGUAUAGAUCUGGUUACUAAAGCUGUCACCACUGAGGUUUCUACAGGACUGGGGCGACCCUGGCUUGGCUAGAUUUGUGCUUUUACGGGACAAUUUCUGGAGGCUUACCAUAGGCUAAUUCUUUGCCUGCUUCCCUUCCAGCACUUUCCAGGGCAGGGUGAUUUAAAUACCCCGAAGUUUGGUUUUCUCUGAUUUUGGCUUGCCAAUAACCGCAUCCGUACUGGCCAACCCAAUGUGAAAGUGGAAUUUUGGGUGAAAUUCUUCCAACGGAGGCAUAAAAUUUUACUAUUUUCAUCACCGCAGGAAUAGAUGUAUGCCCACAGAAGUGGGAUACACGGUGCACAGAUGUGUCUAGGUUAGAGAUUACUGACGUAAGUUUUCUCUUUAUGAAAACAAAUCUCAUCUUGAAAUUCAUCAAGCCAAGGGAAAAAAAGUCAGAGAGAAUGAAUUUUUUCCUUGAGCAAAGUUCAACUCAGUUUAAUCAUUUAAAAGAAAACACGUUUUACUCCUGCCCAAGUAGAGUCUAGUCAUGUGACUCCGAGUUUAAAUAUAGCCAGCGCUCCUGUGUUCUCCAGAGCAGCCAAAUUUUUCUCGAUACUCUUGAUUUCAACUGUUUCCCCAGACUUGUCUCCGUGGCUGUGCUUGCACAGGAGUCUUGCCAAAGCCUGCGUUCUCUCUGAGCUCACACAUAAUGUCAGCCACAUUUGGAGUCCUGGCUUCCAGGAGUCUGGAAGGGCUAGACAGAGGGAGGCAUUGCACUGCAGGCCUGUCAUCCCAGCACUCGUGGAGCAUAGGCAGGUGAUUAGGAGGUCCAGGUCACCUCCGGGAAUGCUUUCUUAGCAAGUUUGAGAGGAUAGUCUGGGCUGCAGGAGACCAGCCAUCUAAAAACAAAACCCACACUAAUACCGAGCGCACAGGCAGCCUCCAAGAUCCUUUCUAAGGGUAGACAAGAGUCUGCCCAGAGCGAGUUAGUCUCAAGAAUCUCAAAAAAUAGAAGACAAGAGCUAAACUUCCAGACAGGAGCCUUACAGUCACACGUAGACUUCUGUUUUGUUUGAGACAGGGUCUCUCUUUGUGACUCUGGCUCACCUGGAACUCAUUAUGUAAACUAGGCUAACGUUAAACUCACAGAAAUCCUUCUACCUCUGCCUCUUGAGUGCUGGGAUUAAGGGCUCAGGCCUCAAGGGCUGCCCCCAUAUCCAGGUACCUUUCUAUGGAGAGAUUAUGGACGUUUGCUGGUGAUGGUGGAUGGCGUGUGAGGCUCAGCUUAAGCACUUUUGGACUAACUCUGAAAACAAGAACCUGUACUGUUCCUUCUACAGCUGGAAUGCAAGAUCCUGAGUGGAGUCCAGGUGGUGGGUCUGGGAGCCUCCAGAGAGUCAUGGCCAGUCAGGAUGGCUGCCGUCCCCGUGCUUCUGGAGAGGGGCUUAGCCAAGAGGAAGCCACCCCAAAGGCUGAUCUCCUGACAGUUGAGCCGGUCCCCUGACAUGUGGCAUGCUGCAGAGCCUCGGAGGAAAGAGACAGCAACACUGACGAAUGAGGUCAGCGGGACCUGCUGAGUACCCAGUGGAUGUGGAGAACAGUGGAGGCAGAGUGCCCGCUCAGAUUACAUGAUUAACUCUCUCGGUCACCAGUGCCUAGCAUCCAGGCUGGGCCCCAAGGAUGCAGAGGCCAGUAGGACCCAGAGACCUCCUGGCCGGAGAGAAUGGCAGGCCCGUAGCUGGGGGUUGGAUGCCAUCCGAUAGGUGUUUGGGGAAUAUUCUGGAGGGCAAAGGGCACUGAUGCCAGUGGAUAAAAGGGCUCUUGGUUACAAGAACCAGCACUGGGUUAGAUGAAUGCUACCUGUCCCAGUUGCGGUUCCUAUUGCUAGGGUGAAGCACCGUGACCAAAAGCAAGUUGGGGAGGGAACCGUUUGUUGGCCUUACACUUCCUCAUCCAUAAUCCAUCAUUGAGGGAAGUCAGGACAGAAACUCAAGCAGGGCAGGAUCCUGGAGACAGAGGCUGAUGCAGAGGCCAUGGAGGGGUGCUGUUUACUGGGUUGCUUCCCAUGGCUUGCUCAGUCUGCUUUCUUAUAGGAUCCAGGACCACCAGAUCAAAUAUGCCACCACCCAAUGGGCUGGGCCCUCACCCACCAAUCAAUCACUAAGGAAAUGCUCUAUACAUUUGCUUACAGCCCAGUCUUCUGCAGGCGUUUUCUCAUCUGGGGGUCCCUCCUCUCAGAUGACUCUAGCUUGUGUGAAGUUGACACAAAUCUAGCCAGCGGACUGCAUGAAACUCGGAGACUGGUCUUGGUGAGGAAACCAAAGGAGCUGACUCAGAAAGUCAACGGGAACCAAGAUACCCUGCGCAGCAGAGAAUUCAAAGUAUAUCAGGCUCAUGCUGGAAGAAGGCUCGGCAGUUAAGAGCAUAUACUGAGUCCAGAGGACCUGAGUCCACUUGCCAGCAAUCACACCAGGUGUCUAUAACUCUAGGUCCAGGCCAGAGCUCUGCAGCACCUACAACCAUGUGCGCACACACUUACAUAUAACUAAGACUAAUAAAAAUGAACGUUUUUAAAAAA